CCUGCGAGGAGGUGGUGGACAGCCGGCGCUAGGUGGCGGGAGGACGCGGCGUCGGCAAGGUGGCGCCGGCGUCGGCCCGUCGCCGGACCGGGCGCCAGCUCGCGGCACGCCCUCGUCGUGACCGCCUGCCAACUCGCCUCCUCUGCGCGCCUCCGCCUCUGCCUCUUCUCACCGUCCCUCGUGCGCCCGCGGCCUGCCCUCGUCGCGGCCGCCCGUCAGCUCGCCUCCUCCUCCACGCAUCGUCUCCCCGUCCCCCCCAUCCCACACCACACACGCACACACCAAACCAUCUGGAGUCGUCCGGCUGCGGCGCGCACAAGGAGGCUAAGGCUCGCCUGCCCGACGUGCCCCUCACCACGCCGUUCACCAUCACAUCCUCGUGCCUCGAGACAAUCUCCAACAUCGCCGUACACGUCCAGAUCUGCAGCGGCGUCGUCGGCCAAGGGGAGGUUGACCUCCACCUUCCACCCGGCUCCUGUGAGGACUGAAGGCACGCACCGGCUUGCGAGUGGCCAGCCACGGCCAUGGCUGACCUUGGGAAUUCCAACGCAAUGUGAGCUAGCAUCUUCCCGUGAGUAGUGAAUGGCAGUUGUGAUUCUACAGAUACGUUGUCCUCCUGCACUCCUUAUGUUUCAAGUGCAUACACCUUGACAUCAGCUUGCAAAGUGUUCGACAGAAUGCUCAUCAGGAGGUCAACAUGAAGAUAGUAGUUGUUUCAUCUGCCCGUAGUGCUCUACCCACAUCAACAACAGGCCUACCUGCCUGACACAAGCAGCAGUGCCGGGGUGGCUAUCGUAGAUUCAUAACCAUAACGUCCAAAAGGUAAACAAAUUCAGACCUACCUAUUCAAAUUGUCGCAGCAUAUUAUAUUAUACAAAAGAUCUAUUUUUUAUUCAAUGCAGAGUAUGGAAAUCUUAAAUUUUAAGUUCUAACAGAGCUACUAAAUGCUAAUUGUUUCUGAUAAUGACUGCAAGUCCCAAUAACUACUACAGCAAUAAAGGGAUGGCAAUCGAGCUGACAAUUUAUUUUUAAUGUUCUUAUUUUGAAUUUUGAUUUUCUUUUUCUUUUGCUUUCGUUCCUCUAUUGUUUCUUCUUUUAUUUACUUCUCAAAAAAGUUCUCCAUUCAAUUGUAUUGUGUACUGUGGUGCUUACAACUGGGUAUUAUGGUUAUACCUACUGCUCUUAACUUUCUCGUCA
Panicum virgatum (switchgrass) is the source of this 1197-nucleotide long non-coding RNA. RefSeq lists it as uncharacterized. The record is from RefSeq and is a predicted model, not a curated record. The transcript is spliced from 3 exons. NCBI's taxonomy places the organism in Eukaryota, Viridiplantae, Streptophyta, Magnoliopsida, Poales, Poaceae.